GACGAACGCUGGCGGCGUGCUUAACACAUGCAAGUCGAACGCUGAAGCUUGGUGCUUGCACUGGGUGAAUGAGUGGCGAACGGGUGAGUAAUAAGUGAGUAACCUGCCCUUGACUCUGGGAUAAGCCUGGGAAACUGGGUCUAAUACUGGAUACGACAUGUCACCGCAUGGUGGUGUGUGGAAAGGGUUUUACUGGUUUUGGAUGGGCUCACGGCCUAUCAGCUUGUUGGUGGGGUAAUGGCUCACCAAGGCGACGACGGGUAGCCGGCCUGAGAGGGUGACCGGCCACACUGGGACUGAGACACGGCCCAGACUCCUACGGGAGGCAGCAGUGGGGAAUAUUGCACAAUGGGCGGAAGCCUGAUGCAGCGACGCCGCGUGAGGGAUGACGGCCUUCGGGUUGUAAACCUCUUUCAGCACGGAAGAAGCGAAAGUGACGGUACGUGCAGAAGAAGCGCCGGCUAACUACGUG
RNAcentral lists this ribosomal RNA (472 nucleotides) under uncultured bacterium. RNAcentral describes it as "partial 16S ribosomal RNA". It matches the Rfam family "Bacterial small subunit ribosomal RNA", at positions 28 to 507 of the family's 1533-position model. The record is from RNAcentral.